CCCAUGGAAGCCCAGCGGGCAGCAGAACCGGCAGAGCGGCGAGAUUCUCCCCUCCCACCGCAGCACCGUACAGGGCACGGCGAGCGCCGCCUGCGACCCUCUCGCCGGCGAUGGAGGAAGUGGGAGUGGAGGUGCCUCUCCCGAGGGAUAAGUUAUCUAUUGAACUGAGAAGGGUCGGAGGAACCCGAGGCGGCGUCGUACUCGUGUCCACCGGGAGCUUCAAUCCUCCCACGUACAUGCACCUGCGCAUGUUUGAACUGGCCAAGGAUGAACUUCAGCAGCGAGGGUAUUAUGUGCUGGGUGGUUACAUGUCUCCAGUGAAUGAUGCGUAUAAGAAGAAGGACCUCUUACCGGCUGCUCACCGGAUUCGUUUUUGUGAACUUGCGUGCAAAAGCUCAUCUUUCGUGAUGGUUGAUCCAUGGGAGGCCAUGCAGAAAGGUUAUCAGCGCACUUUAACUGUCCUCUCGAGAAUUCGGAACUCUUUGUGCAGGGAUGGUUUAGCUGAUCAAGGCAGCCUGAAGGUAAUGCUUUUAUGUGGUUCUGACUUGCUUGAGUCAUUCAGCACUCCAGGAGUUUGGAUCCCAGAUCAGGUCAGAACUAUAUGCAGGGACUUUGGUGUCAUAUGUAUACGCAGGGAAGGGAAAGAUGUUGGCAAUUUGAUAGCUGGCAGUGAUAUACUGCAAGAAUGCGUGGAUAACAUCAUUUCGGUCGAUGAGAUUGUGCCAAAUCAAAUCAGUUCAUCCAGAGUAAGGUAUCAGUUUUACAGACAGAGACUGCAUAAAAAGAUGCCUGUCGAUAAAGUAUCUUACUUGCGAUGAAGUAAUUGAAUACAUUACAGAACACAAGCUGUUUACGGAAGCUAAAGGCGGUGAUACACCCUUGCGAUGAUAAUGGUGUUUGGAGGUUUUUACUAUCACACAGUUAAAUGACUUCUUCGUAAUCAAGAUGUAUGGGCUGUGGAUGGCUAUCUCCAGAUAACUUCUGGAUCUGGCAUGUUGAGCAAUUGUGGAAAUUUCAUUUGAAAUAGAAAAUAAAAGGGUUACGGACACACACCAUGAAAUAAAAGGAGCAGUUUGUAUCUUUGUUAGUUUGGCUUAAAUGGAAAAGAUUCAGAAGCAAGGAUGCUCACUUUUGUUCGCAUUCUCAUUCUCAACAAUAUGAUGCUCACUUUUUCUUAUCAACCAGUGCCAUCUGAUGUUCUAAAUACCAAUCAUUGUGAACUAGGAUUAGGGAUAUGCUGUCAUGUACUGGUUGAUAAAUCAAA
Panicum virgatum (switchgrass) is the source of this 1264-nucleotide RNA transcript. It is a transcript of the gene named nicotinamide/nicotinic acid mononucleotide adenylyltransferase-like, with no coding region annotated. The transcript is spliced from 10 exons. The record is from RefSeq and is a predicted model, not a curated record. NCBI's taxonomy places the organism in Eukaryota, Viridiplantae, Streptophyta, Magnoliopsida, Poales, Poaceae.